This is a non-coding RNA of Potamilus streckersoni, 73 nucleotides long. The record is from the annotation of a GenBank genome assembly. NCBI's taxonomy places the organism in Eukaryota, Metazoa, Mollusca, Bivalvia, Unionida, Unionidae.
CACUCCGGUGGCCUAGUGAUUAUAGCGCUCGCCUCGGAUGUGGGAUGUGCGGGAUCAAACCCCGGCCGAGUCA